GUCCCCGUCGUCUAGCCCGGCCUAGGACAUCGCCCUUUCACGGCGGUAACGGGGGUUCGAAUCCCCCCGGGGACGCCA
This 78-nucleotide transfer RNA is filed under the name Candidatus Zixiibacteriota bacterium. RNAcentral describes it as "tRNA-Glu". It matches the Rfam family "tRNA". From Rfam's summary of the family: Transfer RNA (tRNA) molecules are approximately 80 nucleotides in length. RNAcentral also lists the same sequence under 5 other names. The record is from RNAcentral. Lineage: Bacteria; Pseudomonadati; Candidatus Zixiibacteriota.